This 652-nucleotide long non-coding RNA is filed under the name Crocodylus porosus (Australian saltwater crocodile). RNAcentral describes it as "lncRNA (ENSCPRG00005003938.1)". Lineage: Eukaryota; Metazoa; Chordata; Crocodylia; Crocodylidae. The record is from RNAcentral.
CCCCGGCGAGGGCGAGGGCGAGGGCGCGGGGGCCCGCAGCAGCCAGGCCGCGGUGGUGUCGAGCUCCGCGGGAAGGCGGCAGGAGCAGGUCGACGGCCGGCAGGCAGGACAGGCCAGGAGCGGUGGGGAAGGAGCGCGGCCGAGGGAGAAGGGGAAGCGAGAGGCUCGGAGGCCCUCCGCCCCGCCGACUCCCCUGGAAGUUCACUCCCGCGCGGGGGGCGCGCCGCAACGGAGCGCAUUAGCCCGGUCCAGGUUAUUCCGGAGGAAUGAGGUUUAGUUAAUAGACCGAAGGGACGGCCCUGAGCUGAGCUGCGGCGUGUGACUUCGGGGUGGGAAGAAAGAAAAAACCCAGUCUUAAUUUACAGACAAAGCCGGGCAGGCUCGUCCCCUUCUGCAGCCAUAAAAUAUCCCACCGGGUGCCCUUGGCCAGACUGAGACACGCUUUUUCGUGAUGGGCUCCUCCACCUCCUUCCUUUCAAGAGCCACUUUCAGGACACCUUGCAACAGAGUGAGGACCUACCUGCCGGUGCCCUGUCCUGCCCACCUAGCAGCCAGCAGAAGACAGCUGCAGCUGCUGUUCCCUUGGAAAAGCUGCAUGAAGAGGGAAGUGAAUCUGGCCUCUCUACCACUGGGAUCAUGGGUGACUUGGUGA